This 230-nucleotide long non-coding RNA is filed under the name Elaeis guineensis (African oil palm). RNAcentral's name for it is "long non-coding RNA (EGUI_LNC006350)". The record is from RNAcentral. Lineage: Eukaryota; Viridiplantae; Streptophyta; Magnoliopsida; Arecales; Arecaceae.
UAGGUGCUCUACUAGUCGGUGAGGUUGGAUCCGACGAUGCCAUGAAAGAAAGAGCCAUUGGCAUGAGUGAUCUCUGAACGGUGGAUGAUGCAUCGGAUGUGGUGGUGUCAGAGGUGGAGGAUGGCAACUAUGAGGCGGUGAAGGGCUCCCUGGCCUCGGCAAGUGGUGGUGGACGGAUGAAGGUGGGAUUGGGGUAGAUCGGAAGAUAGCAGACAGACAAAGGUAGUGGC